UAAUCCAUCUCGCGCGAGGGAGGCGCCUGGUGGCGAUGACGCCGGCGCGAGAUUCUGGGAGACACCGGCGCCGGCGCAAGUACCUGGGCUACGACGCCGGCGCGAGGUCGUGUUGGCGAAACCCCGGCUCGGCUUGGUCGUAGUGAUCGCUCCCCGACGCCCCGCGGAUGCCAGCGCGAGGUCCUGGGAGACGCCGGCGACGCGCAAGGACCUGGGCGACGACACCGGCGCGAGGUCCUGGAGGCGAACCCCUGGCUGGGCUUGGUCGUAGUGGUCGACCAGUGGAGCAAGGAAGGCAUGACCGAUUUAUGUGUGGAGACUCUAUCUGAGUACCAUGGCAUUGACAUCAAGACGUUUGUAAGUGAGGAUGAAGGUUUUCAGUUUAUAACAAACUAGGUAUGUGCUCGUGUGUUGCCAUGGGAGAUUUUUCUAAUGCAAUAAGAGGAACAUACAAGGAUACACCCUGAUGCAAAUCAAAUAACCAAGAGGCUGUGUUUUGGUUUUGAAGCAUAGAAUUUUUUACAACUUUAUCACAGGACAUACUGAAGGCCAGGGAACAUCAGAGUGAAAUAUAAUUAUCUGAAUGACAUUUUAAAAAAUAGAUGUCCAAUAAUUCAUCUUUGCAUCUAAAUAAAAAUGUACGCGGCAAUAUCACCACUCAUUUACUAACAUGUUUCUCUAUCUCCUCUUGCGCUAGAACAGUCAGUACCUGAAGAUGGCAUUUGGGUCAUUCUGAUUUGGAGCUUCUGUAACAAAAUACAUAUUUCAGCAAUAGAGUAAUAAUCUUUAGCAGUCCAGUAGUUGAUUGAUGUGCUUUCGUACUGUAGGGGAGUAUGUUGACAUGAUCAAGGCUGGUAUCAUCGACCCUGUGAAAGUGAUCCGAACGGCACUUCAAGAUGCAUAAAUCUCAAGUUCUCUAACCAUAUACCUUUGUACGACCAUGACAGAAACAAUCAAGCUUGUAUGAUAAUCUAUGUUUGUAGUACAGGUUUCUCUGUUAAUGGCAACCACAGAGGCCGCAGUUGCUGAGCUCCCAGCGACAAAGGCCAGAAUUGCUAUGCGUAUGCCGGACAUGAGCGGAAUGUGUUUCUGACAGUGCGGCAUGAUGUCUGAUUUUCCUGUUCUCGGUUAAGGACAUGGCAAGCUUUACUCCCCCCCAUAUACAUGAAUAGAAAAUUCCCCUCCUUAUCAAACGAGAGGUGCAAAGCUGGCACCUAUUUUGCUUUUUGAACUUGAGAUGCUGAUGUGACGUUAACAAGAUUUAGAGCCAUUUCAUUCGGGGUGAAUUCGAAUAGGUGCAGGCAAGACAAGCAUUACCUCAGGUUUUGAAUGUUCACGGGCAACAUUUGUUGUUAUUGAAGUGCUUCCUGCA
Triticum dicoccoides is the source of this 1372-nucleotide long non-coding RNA. RefSeq lists it as uncharacterized. The transcript has 2 exons. The record is from RefSeq and is a predicted model, not a curated record. Lineage: Eukaryota; Viridiplantae; Streptophyta; Magnoliopsida; Poales; Poaceae.